AACCAACAAAGUACACGAUCGUUGAUCGGCAAAGAGACACCGCAAGAAUACUAUCGGCACGACGAAACGAGACUCGAGAGCCGCGAGUUGCGAACACUGUGAGUGAGCAAGAUCGUGGCCGGUACCGUGUCAUGUGGACUCGCUCAAAGAAUGGAUUCGUCCGGCUUCCCCACCACUUGGAUUCACAGCUCUUGCCAUAUAUGGGCAUAAAACGAAAGCGGCUCGCUGAUUGGUCGGUUGGCCGGCUGCCGGCUAGAUUCUCCAAAUGCCGCUUCAAACUGUACGAUACGGGGAGCAUAAUGCCUUCUGGAAGCGUACACUAGCUAAGGGCUUUCCUGACUAACCGUCAGAGCUGUUUGUAGUAGUAAACGUAUCAAUACGUACGAACGUAUAUGUGAAGAUUAUCACGUUCUUUGUGUGCGCGUGCUAGCGACCAGUACCGGCAGUAGGUAUGAGUCAGAAAAAGUUUUGUUAUAUACUUUGGAAUGGUCAACAUUUUUUUUCACUUGAUGCAAGUCGAAACAGUUGUCAUUGAGAUUUAAUGAUCCUCUACUCAUUCGUAAGCUUUCAUGGAAAUUCCUAUCUGUGAAAUAAUAUUAUGAAGUUCGUCGAAUUUAUGUUACGAAAUUUAAUGAAAUAGGAAUCAUGUUACUAAUCCCGGGACAUUUUUCACCUAAUCAUCUUUUGCCAUUGAUUUCUUAAAUUUGAGGAAAAUGUGAGAGAACUCUUAUUCGUAGGCCUGAUUUUUUGUUCCAAUUUUAUGCUAAAUUCUUUCCACAAGAAAAACUCGUAUUUCUUGAUAUAUAUAUAACCUAUUUACCGUCUUGUUUACUUAAAAAAUUAUUAGCAAAAAUCAUAUUUCUUUCGCAUUAGUUGUAAUUACAUAACAUAUCUUGGCACUAGAUUUAUUCCUUAACCAGGAUAUGGUAUGAUUAUAUUUGAAGAAAGCGAAUCUUCGAACGAGAAAGGGUAACAAAUUGUCUUUCCGUAAAAUUUGAUAAAAUAAUAUUCCUUUACAACAACAUAGUCAAACCUCCAAACCAACAUAGUCAAGCCUUUACAACAUAGUCAAAUAGAAUAAGCUGGCGUUAGUAGAAGGUCAUUGAUGAUUUAUUUCCAAAAAAUUCAGUUACUGUGUCACUUUCAAUAUUAAUGAAUGUUAGUGACUCAUAUUAUUGUAGUAAUAAUCUGCAUACCAUGUUUAGUACUACUUGUCUUCUUUUAAAAAAUUGCGCCAGAAGGAAAAUAAUUCGCAAGAAGGAUUUAGAAAGUCAGUAGGUCAGACUUCACUAUUUAUGCAUACUCAUUGUCUAGAUUUCGUUUUAGAGUAGGACAACUAAUGUCUGCCUAAAAGUUAACAUGUUUUUGAAGUAUUUUAAGGUAGGCUUAGAGUAAGUAAUUAAAUGAUGUUCGUCCACCCACUUAUUGCGUGUGGUAUAUGUCAUCUCGGCCGCCUUUUUCAUACAACAGAAGCUAAAAAUAGACUCAAGGGCGCGGAUAAGGGUGCACUGGACUACUACCACGUCACGUAAGCCCUAUGCUUCGGCCCUAUUUCCUGUAUAUGUGUCGGUCCGACGGAAGGCGGCAUGGUGUGUGUGAGUGCAGUGUCUGCUUCAAAAUCGAUACGCGUGUUCGUGCAGUCUACAAUGGUACAUCGUACUUGUGCACGGAAACCACGUGGUGAUGGAAACGUCAAAGUACGACUGGUGAUACUGCUUGUUAUUUUGUCGUAAAACAUUUUGUAAUUAACAUGUUUAUCAGUCGUAAUCAUUACUAUUAAUAAAGCAUGUUGUUAUCAGUUAAAAAGCAAAAUACAAAGAAAUUAAUUAAUAGUGACGUUGAUGAAAUAUCGUUCGUUUAAAUAUACAAUUAUACGUUUUUUAAGUCGUAAUAGCGUUUGAGUUAACACAAUAUCGUAAAUCUUAAAAUCUAUUUAAAAAUGUGUUUUCAAAGUUGGCUCAUUCAUAUUAACAGAACAUUCGCAUACAUACUUUGAACUUAAUGCCUUAUAAGAAAUACAUGUGAGAUACGUACCAUUGAUUAUUAAUAUAUUGUUUAAGUUUGGACAUUGCGAAAGGUAUAGUGAAGGAAACAGAACAGUUUUAUAAAUACACCUGCCACGUUCCUUUGUCGAAAUAGUGCUUUGAUGACAUAAUCAGUGAAUCAUUUGUACCUAAUAAGAAAUCGUAUCGGGUUAUGCACUCGUUCCUCUAUGAGGACGUGUCAAAUUCUGUUCUUGAUUUUAUUUUUGAUUCCGUGUAGAAUUUCAUGAUUAUUUUUAUUUUUUAAAUUUAACCACCAUACUUUAUAUGGACGUCAAAUUUAAAUGUACGUCAUUAAUGUGCCAGAUAAACGGAUGGACUGCUUCACCCAAGUCUAACCUAACCUCGAAACAUCGAAGCCGGCACCCAGCUGUCACACGCACACAGCAUCUUUAUACACGUCAAUUUCGUGUAACUCCAUUGUCCUUUUAACCGCUCAGGUUUUUAUUAGACAAUACGUUAUUUUACUCAAGUAUAAUAUCAAAAGAUAAAUACAAUACAAUGGUAUCUACGGAAAUUAUUUUUAUUGAUUAUACAAAGUUCAAAGAGAGUAUAUGAGUCAUGCAGAAACCGAACCGAUGAACUGUAUUUCUUGAAAAUUUCAUAAUUUUUGUCAUAUUAGCGUUUAGUUUUAUAGAAACCAAACGAUUAACCUCUAUCAAAAUUUGUUCCCCGCUAUUGGCCAGAUCGACUUCUACGUGGUUCAUAUAAAAACACAUGCUAUACACGUUUCGAUGAAAAUUACAGCACAGAUAGAAAUAUGCAUAUUUGCAAUUGACAAUAUGUAUGACUAUGCCUUAUGUAUGACUAUGUUUCAACAGCAGGCGUAAGUAUUAACCUUCGCUGCUCCAGCUGCUCCUGCUGUAUCACACGACGUGUCUCUAUUUACUUUCUCCGUUAUCGUGACAGGUCCGCAAUAGGAAGAAUUAAAUCCAAGUAAGGUGGAGGUGCAUUGUGGGCGGCCUGAAAACCCAAUGGUCCGCAAAGCCUCGACCUUGCUUACCAAAUAAGGUCCCGUUCAAGGUCUUCGAGGCCUUGCGUAAGGCUGUGCCAUCGGCAUAACGAUUAACCGAUUAUGUCCACGCUUUAGUCAUCAGUCGUUUUCAGUGAAAGUGUCUGGUGCAGUUUCCAUGAGAGGAUCGACAUAUUUUGUACGUUCUUUAAUCUCCAUGGGAUCACCGAUUUCGUUCUAUGGAAAGUCCGGAUUGGGCGUGUCUGCCCUACACGGACACGUGCCGUAGGUAACGUCUGGCUCCAGUCGCGCAGUGCCACCGAAAUCAAUACGGAAUGCGACGGUAAGUUCAACGCACCCACCCAGAAGAGUACUUAAGGUUCUUUCUCAUUGGACUAGCCGCGUGCAUUCGGUCCAGACAGUGAAACUAUCGGGAAUCACCGUAACGAGGUCAAAGACCUUACAUAACACACCUUUCGCGAAUCGAAAAUUUACGGAAAGAAAUGUCAAACUCGAGGAAACGCUUUGAAAGUCGAAGUUGAAGUGGAUUAUUCUUGACAAAAAGUGACCGUAGUUAGGAAUUUCCUGUAAACAGGAGAAUUCUAGUUAUUCGUCGCAAAUUUUUAAUAAAAUUUAUUAUUAUAACA
This is a long non-coding RNA of Bombus huntii, 3641 nucleotides long. RefSeq lists it as uncharacterized. NCBI's taxonomy places the organism in Eukaryota, Metazoa, Arthropoda, Insecta, Hymenoptera, Apidae. The transcript is spliced from 2 exons. The record is from RefSeq and is a predicted model, not a curated record.